RNAcentral lists this ribosomal RNA (465 nucleotides) under Vreelandella stevensii. RNAcentral describes it as "partial 16S ribosomal RNA". It matches the Rfam family "Bacterial small subunit ribosomal RNA", at positions 338 to 795 of the family's 1533-position model. The record is from RNAcentral. Lineage: Bacteria; Pseudomonadati; Pseudomonadota; Gammaproteobacteria; Oceanospirillales; Halomonadaceae.
CCUACGGGUGGCAGCAGUGGGGAAUAUUGGACAAUGGGCGAAAGCCUGAUCCAGCCAUGCCGCGUGUGUGAAGAAGGCCUUCGGGUUGUAAAGCACUUUCAGUGGGGAAGAAAGCCUUGGGGCUAAUACCCUCGAGGAAGGACAUCACCCACAGAAGAAGCACCGGCUAACUCCGUGCCAGCAGCCGCGGUAAUACGGAGGGUGCGAGCGUUAAUCGGAAUUACUGGGCGUAAAGCGCGCGUAGGCGGUCUGAUAAGCCGGUUGUGAAAGCCCCGGGCUCAACCUGGGAACGGCAUCCGGAACUGUCCGGCUAGAGUGCAGGAGAGGAAGGUAGAAUUCCCGGUGUAGCGGUGAAAUGCGUAGAGAUCGGGAGGAAUACCAGUGGCGAAGGCGGCCUUCUGGACUGACACUGACGCUGAGGUGCGAAAGCGUGGGUAGCAAACAGGAUUAGAUACCCCAGUAGUC